UAUGCCAUGCGUUGCUGCUGUUAUCAAAAAAAGCAUUAAUUCGUGCUGAAGUUGAUAAAAUUGCACAUAAAAAGUAGAAAGGUUAAACUGAUCGAAUAGGGUACGAAACGUUCUGCGAUACAGAACCUCUCCUACCCAUAACUUCUGGUACUUUUAAAACUUUGGUUUUUUUAAUAGGAUUCAUGGCUUGUACUACACCUAAAAUUUCAUUUCGACAUGUUACGAGUCUCACAUUGGGUAAAACCAACGUUUUUAACCCUACGUAAAACGUUCUACAUACCAGAACUACUCCCAUACGAACAGUGGUACCUAGAACCACUAGGAUGUUAGCUCGUUCUCUGUGGAUGCUAAACCCAGAAACACCUAUGUGGAGGUCAAGAAGGGAGUACACUCGAUUUGUAUCAAUAAUUCAUUAAAUAUAACAAAUAAAGUUUUAUAUUACAACUGUUGAAUAGAGGUAACUGUCGAAUAAAAGUAAGAAGUUUCUUACACGCCUUCUACCAUCUGUCUUGCAUGAUGUGGCUUCCGACGCUUAAUUGAAUAGUCCUCUUUGCUGUAGACCAGCCUAAAACAUCUCUAGAACUCUUAAUGUUAUAGAUGUUAGUUUGAGGAGUUGUAAUACCAGUUAUGCACGGUGAUCACGUGCACAACUUGAUGUCAUUGAUGGUACCUCUAUGGAACUAUUAGGGCUUACUAACACACGGAGUAGACUACAUAUGCGCACCAUCGGAAGUACAAAACUUGUAUGAUGGUCCAGCAGGAUGCUUAGAGUUGACAGGUAUGGCCCAAAGAUUUUCUUCACCUCUGUAUUCUUAAUUUCUUACCUUUUUUACAUACCUGUUAGCAUUCCUCGAAGAACCUUCGUUAUUCGUCGCUUUCCGUUCUUAACCUCUGUCCUACUAGCGGUAAGAAGUAUUACCUCUCAGUCCCAGAUAUAACAAAAUGCGAUAAAAUGGAAUUCCCACAAAUCCAGGAUGGACUAUGACUACUAGUACACGAUUCUUGUUAAUACAUCCCAACCCAAGCUACUGAUAUAUACUCCUACUACUAGCAUACUGAAUAAUAAUUAUUGCUCAUCUUCAACAUACUACUACGUACUAAUCAUCCUG
RNAcentral lists this ribosomal RNA (1109 nucleotides) under Triticum aestivum (bread wheat). Its description in RNAcentral is "partial small subunit ribosomal RNA". The record is from RNAcentral. Lineage: Eukaryota; Viridiplantae; Streptophyta; Magnoliopsida; Poales; Poaceae.